UACGAGGGGCGCAGCGUUAUCCGGAAUUAUUGGGCGUAAAGAGCUCGUAGGCGGUUUGUCGCGUCUGCCGUGAAAGUCCGGGGCUCAACUCCGGAUCUGCGGUGGGUACGGGCAGACUAGAGUGAUGUAGGGGAGACUGGAAUUCCUGGCGUAGCGGUGAAAUGCGCAGAUAUCAGGAGGAACACCGAUGGCGAAGGCAGGUCUCUGGGCAUUAACUGACGCUGAGGAGCGAAAGCAUGGGGAGCGAACAGG
Molecule: ribosomal RNA, 252 nt
Filed under: uncultured bacterium
Lineage: Bacteria
Description: partial 16S ribosomal RNA
Rfam family: Bacterial small subunit ribosomal RNA
Source: RNAcentral